AGGGCUGUAGUUCAAUGGCAGAACAUCAUUCCGUACCUCAAUCCUUGCCCGACUCGGGCCGGAGCAGGAACGGUUAUCGGACCAUUACUCCGAAGAUGCGGGUUCGAAUCCCGCCGGCCCUG
RNAcentral lists this transfer RNA (122 nucleotides) under Polyangiaceae bacterium. RNAcentral describes it as "tRNA-Asn". It matches the Rfam family "tRNA". From Rfam's summary of the family: Transfer RNA (tRNA) molecules are approximately 80 nucleotides in length. Their secondary structure includes four short double-helical elements and three loops (D, anti-codon, and T loops). Further hydrogen bonds mediate the characteristic L-shaped molecular structure. tRNAs have two regions of fundamental functional importance: the anti-codon, which is responsible for specific mRNA codon recognition, and the 3' end, to which the tRNAs corresponding amino acid is attached (by aminoacyl-tRNA synthetases). tRNAs cope with the degeneracy of the genetic code in two manners: having more than one tRNA (with a specific anti-codon) for a particular amino acid; and 'wobble' base-pairing, i.e. permitting non-standard base-pairing at the 3rd anti-codon position. Lineage: Bacteria; Pseudomonadati; Myxococcota; Polyangiales; Polyangiaceae. The record is from RNAcentral.